Molecule: ribosomal RNA, 263 nt
Filed under: uncultured bacterium
Lineage: Bacteria
Description: partial 16S ribosomal RNA
Source: RNAcentral
CUGCUGCCUCCCGUAGGAGUUUGGGCCGUGUCUCAGUCCCAAUGUGGCCGUCCACCCUCUCAGGCCGGCUACUGAUCGUCGCCUUGGUGGGCCUUUACCCCGCCAACCAGCUAAUCAGACGCGGGUCCAUCUUGCACCACCGGAGUUUUUCACACUGUCCCAUGCAGGACCGUGCGCUUAUGCGGUAUUAGCACCUAUUUCUAAGUGUUAUCCCCCAGUGCAAGGCAGGUUACCCACGCGUUACUCACCCGUCCGCCACUAAG